This 73-nucleotide transfer RNA is filed under the name Sphaerodactylus townsendi. RNAcentral describes it as "tRNA-Ala". It matches the Rfam family "tRNA". Rfam says of the family: Transfer RNA (tRNA) molecules are approximately 80 nucleotides in length. Their secondary structure includes four short double-helical elements and three loops (D, anti-codon, and T loops). Lineage: Eukaryota; Metazoa; Chordata; Lepidosauria; Squamata; Sphaerodactylidae. The record is from RNAcentral.
AGGGGCUGUGGCUCAGUGGUAGAGCAUCUGCUUGGCACGCAGAAGGUCCCAGGUUCAAUCCAUGGAGUCUCCA